GAUGAAGAACGUAGCGAAAUGCGAUAAGUAAUGUGAAUUGCAGAAUUCAGUGAAUCAUCGAAUCUUUGAACGCACAUUGCGCCCGCCUGUAUUCUGGCGAGCAUGCCUGUUCGAGCGUCAUUUCAACCAUCAAGCCCCAGGCUUGUGUUGGAGCCCUGCGGCUGCCGCAGCCUCCCAAAACCAGUGGCGGGCUCGCUAUCACACCGAGUGCAGUAGUUUACUCUUCGCUCAGGGCGUGUGGCGGGUGCUAGCCGUGAAACCCCCAACUUCUCAAGGUUGACCUCGGAUCAGGUAGGAAUACCCGCUGAACUUAAGCAUAUCAAUAAGCGGAGGA
RNAcentral lists this unclassified non-coding RNA (334 nucleotides) under soil metagenome. RNAcentral's name for it is "partial contains 5.8S ribosomal RNA, internal transcribed spacer 2, and large subunit ribosomal RNA". The stretch from base 1 to 120 matches the Rfam family "5.8S ribosomal RNA", at positions 35 to 154 of the family's 154-position model. The record is from RNAcentral.